AUAAUUUUGGAGCUAAUACGUGCCUCGAGUCGACGGCCUCACGGCGUCGCGCACUUAUUAGACCAAGACCAAUCGUGCUUGCACGUUUUGGUGACUCUGAAUAAUUCGCUGAUCGCACGGUCUUGUACCGGCGACGUAUCGUUCGAGUAUCUGCCUUAUCAACUUUCGAUGGAAGUCUAUGUGGCUACCAUGGUUGUUACGGGUAACGGAGAAUUAGGGUUCGACUCCGGAGAGGGAGCCUGAGAAACGGCUACCACAUCCAAGGAAGGCAGCAGGCGCGAAAAUUACCCACUCUCAAUGCGAGGAGGUAGUGACUAUCAAUAACGAGACAGAUCUCUAUGAGGCCUGUCAUCGUAAUGGGUACAAUGUAAACCCUUUAACGAGGAUCUAUGAGAGGGCAAGUCUGGUGCCAGCAGCCGCGGUAAUUCCAGCUCUCAUGGCGUAUAUCGUCAUUGCUGCGGUUAAAAAGCUCGUAGUUGGAUCUGUGCCAAUGUGCGUGGUUUCCCCUUCGGGGUUACUGCUGUGCUUGGUUUGUGUCGGUUUUCCGGCGUGGCUUUAAUCGGCUGCGUCGGUGGCUGACGAGUUUACCUUGAAUAAAUCAAAGUGCUCAAGACAGGCGUUUCGCUUGUAUGCUUCUGCAUGGAAUAAUGGAAUAGGACUUCGGUUCUUUUCUGUUGGUCUUAGGAUCGAAGUAAUGAUUAAGAGGGACAGACGGGGGCAU
Molecule: ribosomal RNA, 721 nt
Filed under: Diplogasteritus nudicapitatus
Lineage: Eukaryota; Metazoa; Nematoda; Chromadorea; Rhabditida; Diplogasteridae
Description: SSU rRNA
Rfam family: Eukaryotic small subunit ribosomal RNA
Source: RNAcentral